This 506-nucleotide ribosomal RNA is filed under the name Ferrimonas sp. 2Bb4S56. RNAcentral's name for it is "bacterial SSU rRNA". It matches the Rfam family "Bacterial small subunit ribosomal RNA", at positions 380 to 877 of the family's 1533-position model. The record is from RNAcentral. Lineage: Bacteria; Pseudomonadati; Pseudomonadota; Gammaproteobacteria; Alteromonadales; Ferrimonadaceae.
AGCCUGAUGCAGCCAUGCCGCGUGUGUGAAGAAGGCCUUCGGGUUGUAAAGCACUUUCAGCGAGGAGGAAAGGUUGACGGUUAAUACCCGUCAGCUGUGACGUUACUCGCAGAAGAAGCACCGGCUAACUCCGUGCCAGCAGCCGCGGUAAUACGGAGGGUGCGAGCGUUAAUCGGAAUUACUGGGCGUAAAGCGCAUGCAGGCGGCCAAGUCAGUCAGAUGUGAAAGCCCCGGGCUCAACCUGGGAAUAGCAUUUGAUACUGCUUGGCUAGAGUCCUUGAGAGGGGGGUAGAAUUUCAGGUGUAGCGGUGAAAUGCGUAGAGAUCUGAAGGAAUACCAGUGGCGAAGGCGGCCCCCUGGCAAGAGACUGACGCUCAGAUGCGAAAGCGUGGGGAGCAAACAGGAUUAGAUACCCUGGUAGUCCACGCCGUAAACGAUGUCUAUUAGGAGUCUGUGACCUUGAGUCUGUGGGUUCCAAAGCUAACGCAUUAAAUAGACCGCCUGGG